GCCGGGCGUGGUGGCAGGCGCCUGUAAUCCCAGCUACUCGGGAGGCUGAGAUAGGAGAAUGGCAUGAACCCAGGAGGUGGAGCUUGCAGUGAGCAGAGAUAGUGCCACUGCGCUCCAGCCUGGGUGACAGAGCAAGACUCUAUCUCUA
RNAcentral lists this small RNA (148 nucleotides) under Pongo abelii (Sumatran orangutan). RNAcentral describes it as "Metazoan signal recognition particle RNA (ENSPPYG00000040389.1)". The record is from Rfam by way of RNAcentral. Lineage: Eukaryota; Metazoa; Chordata; Mammalia; Primates; Hominidae.